RNAcentral lists this ribosomal RNA (428 nucleotides) under uncultured bacterium. RNAcentral's name for it is "partial 16S ribosomal RNA". It matches the Rfam family "Bacterial small subunit ribosomal RNA", at positions 354 to 796 of the family's 1533-position model. The record is from RNAcentral.
AUUAGGAAUCUUGCGCAAUGGGGGCAACCCUGACGCAGCGACACAGCGUGGAGGAUGAAGGUCUUCGGAUUGUAAACUCCUUUUAUAUGGGAAGAAUAGAUGACUGUACCAUAUGAAUAAGGACCUGCUAACUACGUGCCAGAAGCAUCGGUGAUGCGUAGGGUCCGAACGUUAUCCGGAUUUAUUGGGUGUAUAGAGAUGCGUAGGCGGUUUGAUAAGUCUUGAGUUAAAGACCUCGGCUCAACCGAGGGAGAGCUUUCGAAACUAUCAGACUUGAGGCAUAGAGGGGUGAACGGAACUCCGAGUGGAGUGGUGAAAUACGUUGAUAUUCGGAAGAACAUCAGUGGCGAAGGCGGUUCACUGGCUAUUGCCUGACGCUCAGGCUCGAAAGCGUGGGUAGCAAAACGGAUUAGAUACCCGGGUAGUCC